GACUGGUAUGGCGUAUCACACCAUGACGUUGUUGAUUCCUUUUCUAGAACAGCGCUCCGUGUCAUGUUUGAUUCCUUACAUCGCCUAAUAACUUAGUUUUUAUAUAUUUAUUUCAUUCGAAGCAAUAAUUUGUGUAAGCGCGAUAAAUUUAACGUGCAGUGGUUUGGAAACAGUAGGUCACGUGACUGCCCACAGCCGUUGGCCCAAGCCCCGCGUGAUAACAGACAUCGCGAGAUCUCCGGAAAGAGCCGAGCGCAGCGGAGGAGAAGAGCCGGAAAAAGCCGAUGAUGCUCUUGAAUGCCGCUGCCCCUUUUCAACAUGGCUGCUGUAUGUGCUGUGCUCAGUUGCGCUCCGACUGGAGUCUGACUCGACUCUCGACAACUUAGUGCCUCACAAUACUGUCUCUGAACAGCUAAAAGCUAGGGGGAAAUUAUUCCGUCGGAGCGGUUUUUAAAUCUCCCUUAUUCUUGUGGGGUUUUUAAAAUAUAUAUAUAUAUUAAAAAAAACAACAACAGAACGAGAAAUCUAAUCAAGCAUUGCGUCUGGGGCCUUUUUCCCUUUUUGCUUUUUUACAUGAAAAAAACAACAACAACAGUACAGCUGCUACAACAUUUAGGAUCCAUCAACAAUUUCCAAUGGUUUGACUUUGGCACUUUAAGCUUUUUUUAUUUCUUUUUUUUUCUUCUUUUUUUUCUCAUUUUCUUUCCUUCUUCAUGAACAAUGUGUGAAAACUGCGCCGAGCUGGUUGAGGUGCUGAAUGAAAGCCCAAAGGAGAUGCAAAGCAUUUGAUCUGAAUGUCAUGUUGCAUGCAUGUCAGUGAUCCGGUUUGAUCCAAAUCUGGCCUCUCCUGUCCAUACAUCAGUCAGGAAAAACGUGCUCAUGAUCAUGUUUUACUUUAGUAAUUAUUGCACAAAUCAGCAGUUUCAUGCUGCACAAGACGAAUCCUGACCCUGCCAGUGCAACGCAGUGUCUUUAACACCCAGCCUCUCAUUUCCUUUAGUUCAUUUAAUCCACAUCACUGCAUGUUAGCGUUACCUUCCAUUAAACUCGUGUUUAUUAUUAUUAUUAUUAUUAUUAUUAUUAUUUUUAUUAUUAUUUUCUAACUCGCAUUCAUCCUAAUGCGGCCACAUGCACCUUUAUCCUUAAGCACACAAAAUAUCAAUUCGCUUUUAUUUACCCUAGCCAGCAUUAGCCAUAGCAGCAACAUCACCGUUGCUGUUUUUCUUUUUUUGUUGUUGUUGUUGUUUUUUUGUGUGUUUUUUUUUAUACGUUGUCAUUACCACACGGUUGUUUUUACAGCACACUAAACACUAUAAAACACUUACAACCGUUUACAACAACUAAAUCACUCAUCAUGUGUUAAAUAUCUAAGAAAAAAAUUGUAGUUUGGUGGUUUUGACAACAAAAAUGACAGCUAGCCUGUGUGUGUGUGUGUGUUUUCGCUAGCUUGACUAGCAAUUAGCUAGUCUUCUUUGCUAGCAGUGAACCGCUAAUGGGAUGGAAAUAAUCACCUCCCGCUGGUUGUAGGGAGGUGAAAUGUCUGAAAACACGUCCCGUGUCGUUUAAAAAGAAAUAAAUCAUAAAAUUAGACUGGUGUUUUGUUGUCAUGUUUAGCCACAUGGUGCAAGUGCUAGCUAGCGAACGAACUCGUUAGCAGUGGAAGCUAACGGAGCUUGUUGCUAGCAGCAACUGUUUUGGACUUGCGUUUGUUCCAGAGUUUAAUGUCUUUACCUGACACUGUGUUGAAUUAUCAUAACGUUAAUGAUUUAACCUGCUGUUUGUUUAUUUUUAACCAAACACGUCGUUGUGUUGGUGCUGUCUGUUUGUUUGCUAGCUGUGCUGGUAUUUGUUAGCCUGCUAGCUAACAUAGUUGUGCUUCAUAGGCACAAGUACAAAGGAGCUGAUGGGCCUCUAUAAUGAGAAACUUUAACAAUAGCUGAUUGUGUUUGUUUGCAUUUGAGUUUAGUUCUGAGGUAAAAUUGUGGUCCAUGUCAAAAUACCAUUGCAUUGACAAAAAGGCUUAUUAUUUUUUAUUUUUAAACCCCUCCCACACUUUUUUCUUUUCUUUUCUUUUUUUUUUUCUUUCUUUAAACACUAGAACAGGAGAACAGAGUGUAGUAAAGGUUGAACUGGUGAUAAAGUAGUGAUAAAUCUAUCCUCUGAGAUAAUAUCGAGCUUCAAAAAUCAUUUAACCAUCGAUACAUUUGAUAUAAACAUGACUAUUUAGUUUCCUGCUCGAGCUCCGAGUCAUGCCCAGUGCGAGACUCUCCCGGGUCUGAGUUCGGGAUUCACACGAGUACCCGAAUCGUCGUUGGACUACUCACAAGAACGUCAUCGGAAGUCCUAACUUUAUUAUCUUUUUAUGUGUACGCGUACAGCGCUCGCUCGCUUAGCUUAGGUUUCCAUUCUUGUGCCGAGCAUCUGAAACGAGGCUUUGAGCGUGCCGAUACUUUUAAUCCGUGGUGGGAAUUGACUAGCAAAAUUUAAUCCGAACGACUGAAUGCGUGGAUUUUCCGACCGCCGACUACGGGGGAAAAAAACAACCCCCAGAGAAAGCGCUCCAUCUACUCCGUAACCCGGGACGGUCUCUUCAACCCCAAGUGACCUCAAAUCAACACGGCGGAAACGAGGCCCGAGGGCGCCAAUACUUUAUCAUCUCGGUUUUUAGCGCGAAUAACGGAUGUCAGUUAGGGCGUACGACGUCGAACUCGGCACUCUGAAGGAAUACGACUUCAGAUUUGUAUAAUAUUUCCGUAUUUGCCGUAAUAAAUCCACGAUCAAAUGUUUUAAAAUCAAAUGUGUUACUUUGUUUUUUUUUUUUGUUUGUUGUUUUUUUUUUUUUAAAAUACUCAUCCCAGUGAUGAAACGAAGGACUCAAACCUGUAACUCGGACUAGGAGAAACCAAACAAAGCUCCCUUUCCGUACCGGACUCCGGCACCGUAACUCAGACGGUCUCCUCAACCCCGAGUUCAGCGAGGGACGUCAAAUCAAAAUGGCCGCUCACGGCAUCGGCGCUAAACACUUCUCGGAUGUUAAACGAGUUAUUUACUGUAUUAGCGUUAGCUCAGUCGACACGUUACAUCUAUAACACUGACUCUACGCGUCACCGUUCUGCGGAGGAAGAUACACAUCACCCAUCACGGCUAGCUUGUUGCUAUGAAAAGGCGAAUGGAAUGGACGUGUUUUGUUUACGGCUCGGACGCGUGAAGGUCAGGAAAUUACACCGCUCCGAAUUCACACUUCCUAGUUUUGGUUUAGUUCACGCUAACGUGAGUACAUUUAAAGAUGAAAUCAUCUUUUUUUUAAUUCCCUGCCUCAGGACUGUCACGUGAGCCCCGCGAUUCCAAAAUGGUGGGAGCUCGUCGGUCUCGUUGCGAUCCUGCUUCCUGUGUAGUUUAAUUUCGUGUUUGGGUGAAUUUUUUUUUUGUAUGGUUGACGGAGCGACUGUGGGGAAUGAGAAGUUAACGUUUAUGUUGUGAAAUCAAACAAAGAUGGGGAGAGGUCAAGGUCAUGGAUCAGACGCUCUGUUGUUCUGUUUUAUUGCGAACAGGAAACUAUUUUUCGGGGGGGGGGGGGGGGGGGGUCUGGAAACAGCGAAGACUUUUCUGAACUUUGCUGAAUAUUUGAAAACAUUUUAAUGAUCGGAAUCCCGUACAUCGUUACGUGCCUGCGGUGACGGCGUGCUACACGUUCGAUUUGUGCUGGAAUUCUGCUCUUAGGUUUUAACCGAAAUCGCACGGGACUUCACUCUGCCUCAUCGCUAAUGUUUUACGAAUUUCUACAACCAUACGGAAAUUACCUGCUAACACAGCUAAGCGCAACAUUCGCAUGAAGCCCGGCACCAUCUGUGUGUGAGCGAGCGAGCGAGAGAGACACACACACACACACACACACACACGUACAUGUCUUUGUGUUGAGUGACAGGCCCAUGUGUCCACAUGUAGUUUGAUCUUUGACCUCCAAAUCUGAUAUAUGGGCAGCUAUCUCCUCCUCGUGUCGCCGUGUGUGUGUGUGUGUGUGUGUGUGUGUGUGUGUGUGUGUGUGUGUGUGUGUGUGUGUGAGACAUGGAUACAACUAAUAGGAGACGAGACAGAUGUGCCGGUUGUAUGUAUCUUACGCUGGGAGGGGCAGAUCAGGCUUUUCACCACGUGGAGGAAGCUUGACAGCGAGGCAUGUGUUGACUCGCACACCGCGCUCUCUCUCUCUCUCUCUCUCGCUCUUUCGCUCUCUCUCUCUCUCUCACACACACACUUUACAAUCAGUGAAACGAGUUCAUUGGAUUUAUUUCCCCAGCGCCCUGCACAAUACGCUGUAUUUGUAUUGAAACGGUAUCAGAGAUGGAUUUCAGCGUCGUCUCUUACUGUGUGAAAGGUCCGGAUUCUCGUCCGCUUUUAAUCAUCUGUGUGUCUGACCUGGUUACCAUAACGACAGCACCCGUAUAUGCCGGUAACACCCGCCCCCCCCCCUGCAAAAUAUAAACCCGCUUACGUCACGAUGGAGUUAAACGUUUCCCGCUUCGUCCGCGGCAUCUGUUCGAACGUCGCCGUCUCCCGGACGGCGUUACGCAGCUCCAGGCGUAAAAGAUGACGGCGUUAGGAUCGGAACUGCAAGUCUGACGUUUUAGACGCGCACGGACGGUUCGAAACGGAACGAGACGUUAAUAAUCGUGUACAGCGCGUAAAGAGGAAGCCGAGAGGCGCGUAUUUACUUUGAUCUUGACCGGAUAGCGCUGACCGAUGACCGCGGGACAGGAGGAGACUCUUUAACUUCUGCGUCAGACAGAGACGGCUUCCGUUCUUCGUUCUUCAUUCUUUAUUAACGUCGCUACGAGAGAAAUGUGUCGCGUGCCGCUCGUAGCGAGGGCCGAACCACUUUUAUUAAAACAAAGAAGACGUGUAGGCCGGGAAUAAACCGUGCAACAGCUCACACUCGGUCAGUACGUUCACAUGGACAACAAUAAUCCGAUAUUAACCCGAUUAAGACCAGCAUGUAAACAGAGAUUACCGACGACCUUAAUCCGAUUAAAGUCAUACCCGGAAUGAAGACGUGUGGAGUACUCCUGUUCCAGACGUUCCAGACACGUACACACCUCAAUCGCACUAUUAACGUCGUGUGGGAGUUUCCACCGCAUCGUGCGACAGGACACGUACGCAACACGGCAGCGCUCGGCCGUUCGACGGCGGACAAGAGAGCACGGCCGCGUCCCAAACCGCGUACUUGCCUCCAGUAUAGCAGGUGAAAUGCAUGUAUUUCGGUAAGUACGCGGUUCGGGACGCAGCCCACGGCUUCAAGCGGUCGUCUGUUCGCACGUACGGCACGACUAAUAAUCAACCGCACCCGAAGCUUUCGUAAAAAUAAAAACACCCGAAACCGUAUACGGUCCCAUAACGAAGACCGACCGUAUGAAGAUGCGUGAAAUUCUGGCGGGGACGGCGUGGCGCGGGGAUAUAACGACACGUGAAACGUGAAUAUGAAGCGAGUGUUCUAAAAGCGACUCAUGUAAACACCUUAAUCAGAAUAUCGUCUUAUUCAGAAUAAGGUCGACGAUUAUGUUACUGCUGUCCGUGUAAACGUAGUGAAUGACAC
Long non-coding RNA from Ictalurus punctatus (channel catfish), 5587 nucleotides. NCBI's taxonomy places the organism in Eukaryota, Metazoa, Chordata, Actinopteri, Siluriformes, Ictaluridae. The record is from Ensembl.